AGACCCGAAACCCGGUGAUCUAGCCAUGGGCAGGUUGAAGGUUGGGUAACACUAACUGGAGGACCGAACCGACUAAUGUUGAAAAAUUAGCGGAUGACCUGUGGCUGGGGGUGAAAGGCCAAUCAAACCGGGAGAUAGCUGGUUCUCCCCGAAAGCUAUUUAGGUAGCGCCUCGUGAAUUCAUCUCCGGGGGUAGAGCACUGUUUCGGCUAGGGGGCCAUCCCGGCUUACCAACCCGAUGCAAACUGCGAAUACCGGAGAAUGUUAUCACGGGAGACACACGGCGGGUGCUAACGUCCGUCGUGAAGAGGGAAACAACCCAGACCGCCAGCUAAGGUCCCAAAGUCAUGGUUAAGUGGGAAACGAUGUGGGAAGGCCCAGACAGCCAGGAUGUUGGCUUAGAAGCAGCCAUCAUUUAAAGAAAGCGUAAUAGCUCACUGGUCGAGUCGGCCUGCGCGGAAGAUGUAACGGGGCUAAACCAUGCACCGAAGCUGCGGCAGCGAACGUAUCACCCAAGACAACUUUACGGAGUUGACGAUUGACGGAGCGAAGCGACGUCAAAGCGUUCAUUAAAGUCGAGU
Molecule: ribosomal RNA, 580 nt
Filed under: Salmonella enterica
Lineage: Bacteria; Pseudomonadati; Pseudomonadota; Gammaproteobacteria; Enterobacterales; Enterobacteriaceae
Also listed under: 4 other names
Description: partial 23S ribosomal RNA
Rfam family: Bacterial large subunit ribosomal RNA
Source: RNAcentral